RNAcentral lists this ribosomal RNA (440 nucleotides) under uncultured bacterium. RNAcentral's name for it is "partial 16S ribosomal RNA". It matches the Rfam family "Bacterial small subunit ribosomal RNA", at positions 338 to 795 of the family's 1533-position model. The record is from RNAcentral.
CCUACGGGAGGCAGCAGUAGGGAAUAUUGCUCAAUGGGGGAAACCCUGAAGCAGCAACGCCGCGUGGAGGAUGAAGGUUUUCGGAUUGUAAACUCCUUUUGUUAGAGAAGAUAAUGACGGUAUCUAACGAAUAAGCACCGGCUAACUCCGUGCCAGCAGCCGCGGUAAUACGGAGGGUGCAAGCGUUACUCGGAAUCACUGGGCGUAAAGAGCGCGUAGGCGGGAUAGCAAGUCAGAUGUGAAAUCCUAUGGCUUAACCAUAGAACUGCAUUUGAAACUGUUAUUCUAGAGUAUGGGAGGGGUAGGUGGAAUUCUUGGUGUAGGGGUAAAAUGCGUAGAGAUCAAGAGGAAUACUCAUGGCGAAGGCGACCUGCUAGAACAUAACUGACGCUGAUGCGCGAAAGCGUGGGGAGCAAACAGGAUUAGAUACCCCGGUAGUC